Molecule: ribosomal RNA, 497 nt
Filed under: uncultured bacterium
Lineage: Bacteria
Description: partial 16S ribosomal RNA
Rfam family: Bacterial small subunit ribosomal RNA
Source: RNAcentral
GACGAACGCUGGCGGCGUGCCUAAUACAUGCAAGUAGAACGCUGAAGCGAGGAGCUUGCUCUUCUUGGAUGAGUUGCGAACGGGUGAGUAACGCGUAGGUAACCUGCCUUGUAGCGGGGGAUAACUAUUGGAAACGAUAGCUAAUACCGCAUAACAAUGGAUGACACAUGUCAUUUAUUUGAAAGGGGCAAUUGCUCCACUACAAGAUGGACCUGCGUUGUAUUAGCUAGUAGGUGAGGUAACGGCUCACCUAGGCGACGAUACAUAGCCGACCUGAGAGGGUGAUCGGCCACACUGGGACUGAGACACGGCCCAGACUCCUACGGGAGGCAGCAGUAGGGAAACUUCGGAAAUGGGGGCAACCCUGACCGAGCAACGCCGCGGGAGUGAAGAAGGGUUUCGGAUCGUAAAGCUCUGUUGUAAGUCAAGAACGAGUGUGAGAGUGGAAAGUUCACACUGUGACGGUAGCUUAACAGAAAGGGACGGCUAACUACGUG